Molecule: ribosomal RNA, 3395 nt
Filed under: Salmonella enterica subsp. enterica serovar Derby
Lineage: Bacteria; Pseudomonadati; Pseudomonadota; Gammaproteobacteria; Enterobacterales; Enterobacteriaceae
Description: bacterial LSU rRNA
Rfam family: Bacterial large subunit ribosomal RNA
Source: RNAcentral
UUAAGCGACUAAGCGUACACGGUGGAUGCCCUGGCAGUCAGAGGCGAUGAAGGACGUGCUAAUCUGCGAUAAGCGCCGGUAAGGUGAUAUGAACCGUUAUAACCGGCGAUUUCCGAAUGGGGAAACCCAGUGUGAUUCGUCACACUAUCAUUAACUGAAUCCAUAGGUUAAUGAGGCGAACCGGGGGAACUGAAACAUCUAAGUACCCCGAGGAAAAGAAAUCAACCGAGAUUCCCCCAGUAGCGGCGAGCGAACGGGGAGGAGCCCAGAGCCUGAAUCAGCAUGUGUGUUAGUGGAAGCGUCUGGAAAGGCGCGCGAUACAGGGUGACAGCCCCGUACACAAAAGCGCAUGUGUUGUGAGCUCGAUGAGUAGGGCGGGACACGUGGUAUCCUGUCUGAAUAUGGGGGGACCAUCCUCCAAGGCUAAAUACUCCUGACUGACCGAUAGUGAACCAGUACCGUGAGGGAAAGGCGAAAAGAACCCCGGCGAGGGGAGUGAAAAAGAACCUGAAACCGUGUACGUACAAGCAGUGGGAGCUGAGGGAAAGGCGAAAAGAACCCCGGCGAGGGGAGUGAAAAAGAACCUGAAACCGUGUACGUACAAGCAGUGGGAGCCCCACCACUAAGCCAGUGGUGAACUCCACAUACGCAUCCUUUGCUGAGGAUACGGUUAACGGAGCGCAAGCGACGUUCAACCGCAAAAGAAGCAGAGGGGGCUUAGUGGUGGGGUGACUGCGUACCUUUUGUAUAAUGGGUCAGCGACUUAUAUUCUGUAGCAAGGUUAACCGUAUAGGGGAGCCGGAGGGAAACCGAGUCUUAAUUGGGCGUUAAGUUGCAGGGUAUAGACCCGAAACCCGGUGAUCUAGCCAUGGGCAGGUUNAGGGAAACCGAGUCUUAACCGGGCGUUAAGUUGCAGGGUAUAGACCCGAAACCCGGUGAUCUAGCCAUGGGCAGGUUGAAGGUUGGGUAACACUAACUGGAGGACCGAACCGACUAAUGUUGAAAAAUUAGCGGAUGACCUGUGGCUGGGGGUGAAAGGCCAAUCAAACCGGGAGAUAGCUGGUUCUCCCCGAAAGCUAUUUAGGUAGCGCCUCGUGAAUUCAUCUCCGGGGGUAGAGCACUGUUUCGGCUAGGGGGCCAUCCCGGCUUACCAACCCGAUGCAAACUGCGAAUACCGGAGAAUGUUAUCACGGGAGACACACGGCGGGUGCUAACGUCCGUCGUGAAGAGGGAAACAACCCAGACCGCCAGCUAAGGUCCCAAAGUCAUGGUUAAGUGGGAAACGAUGUGGGAAGGCCCAGACAGCCAGGAUGUUGGCUUAGAAGCAGCCAUCAUUUAAAGAAAGCGUAAUAGCUCACUGGUCGAGUCGGCCUGCGCGGAAGAUGUAACGGGGCUAAACCAUGCACCGAAGCUGCGGCAGCGAGUAAUAGCUCACUGGUCGAGUCGGCCUGCGCGGAAGAUGUAACGGGGCUAAACCAUGCACCGAAGCUGCGGCAGCGAACGUAUCACUUAAAGCGAUUCAGCGGGUUACGAUUGACGGAGCGAAGCGACGUCAAAGCGUAUACAAAGUCGAGUCGGUUUAAGGAUACGUUCGUUGGGUAGGGGAGCGUUCUGUAAGCCUGUGAAGGUGGCCUGUGAGGGUUGCUGGAGGUAUCAGAAGUGCGAAUGCUGUUGGGUAGGGGAGCGUUCUGUAAGCCUGUGAAGGUGGCCUGUGAGGGUUGCUGGAGGUAUCAGAAGUGCGAAUGCUGACAUAAGUAACGAUAAAGCGGGUGAAAAGCCCGCUCGCCGGAAGACCAAGGGUUCCUGUCCAACGUUAAUCGGGGCAGGGUGAGUCGACCCCUAAGGCGAGGCCGAAAGGCGUAGUCGAUGGGAAACGGGUUAAUAUUCCCGUACUUGGUGUUACUGCGAAGGGGGGACGGAGAAGGCUAUGUUGGCCGGGCGACGGUUGUCCCGGUUUAAGCGUGUAGGUGUGUGUUCCAGGUAAAUCCGGUUCACUUUAACACUGAGGCGUGAUGACGAGGCACUACGGUGCUGAAGCAACAAAUGCCCUGCUUCCAGGAAAAGCCUCUAAGCAUCAGGUAACAUCAAAUCGUACCCCAAACCGACACAGGUGGUCAGGUAGAGAAUACCAAGGCGCUUGAGAGAACUCGGGUGAAGGAACUAGGCAAAAUGGUGCCGUAACUUCGGGAGAAGGCACGCUGACAUGUAGGUGAAGUGAUUUACUCAUGGAGCUGAAGUCAGUCGAAGAUACCAGCUGGCUGCAACUGUUUAUUAAAAACACAGCACUGUGCAAACACGAAAGUGGACGUAUACGGUGUGACGCCUGCCCGGUGCCGGAAGGUUAAUUGAUGGGGUCAGCGCAAGCGAAGCUCCUGAUCGAAGCCCCGGUAAACGGCGGCCGUAACUAUAACGGUCCUAAGGUAGCGAAAUUCCUUGUCGGGUAAGUUCCGACCUGCACGAAUGGCGUAAUGAUGGCCAGGCUGUCUCCACCCGAGACUCAGUGAAAUUGAACUCGCUGUGAAGAUGCAGUGUACCCGCGGCAAGACGGAAAGACCCCGUGAACCUUUACUAUAGCUUGACACUGAACAUUGAGCCUUGAUGUGUAGGAUAGGUGGGAGGCUUUGAAGCGUGGACGCCAGUCUGCAUGGAGCCGGCCUUGAAAUACCACCCUUUAAUGUUUGAUGUUCUAACGUGGACCCGUAAUCCGGGUUGCGGACAGUGUCUGGUGGGUAGUUUGACUGGGGCGGUCUCCUCCUAAAGAGUAACGGAGGAGCACGAAGGUUGGCUAAUCCUGGUCGGACAUCAGGAGGUUAGUGCAAUGGCAUAAGCCAGCUUGACUGCGAGCGUGACGGCGCGAGCAGGUGCGAAAGCAGGUCAUAGUGAUCCGGUGGUUCUGAAUGGAAGGGCCAUCGCUCAACGGAUAAAAGGUACUCCGGGGAUAACAGGCUGAUACCGCCCAAGAGUUCAUAUCGACGGCGGUGUUUGGCACCUCGAUGUCGGCUCAUCACAUCCUGGGGCUGAAGUAGGUCCCAAGGGUAUGGCUGUUCGCCAUUUAAAGUGGUACGCGAGCUGGGUUUAGAACGUCGUGAGACAGUUCGGUCCCUAUCUGCCGUGGGCGCUGGAGAACUGAGGGGGGCUGCUCCUAGUACGAGAGGACCGGAGUGGACGCAUCACUGGUGUUCGGGUUGUCAUGCCAAUGGCACUGCCCGGUAGCUAAAUGCGGAAGAGAUAAGUGCUGAAAGCAUCUAAGCACGAAACUUGCCCCGAGAUGAGUUCUCCCUGAGACUUAGAGUCUCCUGAAGGAACGUUGAAGACGACGACGUUGAUAGGCCGGGUGUGUAAGCGCAGCGAUGCGUUGAGCUAACCGGUACUAAUGAACCGUGAGGCUUAACCUU